AUGCAGCUCCUGACCUCACAAUAUGCAGGGGGUUCUAGGACCUGCCCUGUGACUCAGAGGCAUGGCCUCACUGGAAAAGACCACCCAGAGACUCUCCUGCCCUCUGCCCACCCCUCAUCAACCACUCCCAGUACACAUUCAUCAUCAGCGCUUCCCUUCCUGAGAACUCUUUUGCCUCCCCCAGCCCAAGACGGAGCCCAAGUCCACCCACUAAUUCUAAGACCAUUCCUGGGGAUGAUGGAUAGGAGGCUGCUGGAGACACAGGAGGAAGAGCCUGUCCCAAGAAGGAGGAAGUGGUGGGGCCUUGACGGCGAUGCUGAACCACUGGAUCCCCAACCUUCAGUUACGGAGACCCAGGGACUCAUCUCACAGGAGCCUAACCAGUGUCCCAUAUCAGAGGCGACAGGGGCUGAGCCCCAAGUGACCGGACACCAGUCACCCCACAGGCCUCCCUGCACACUGCAGCCAUCGAUUAGGCAACAGGGACACCCACACAGCCAAGCCAUGCCCACUCUGUCUUUCGGGCCAUCAGCUCAGAAGUCACCCCGGGAAGCACAGCCACACUCCCCACCUAGGGGGCCUAGAAACAGCAUAUGGAACCUGGCUGCGCCAGUCUCCAGAAUACCAGUCACGAAAGAAAGUGCCAUCUCUGUCCAGCACUUACAGAUCAUCGCCAUACUGAAACAAGCAAACAAACGAAAAACAAAAAAAAAAGGAGAAAAUCCUUAGUGCAGUGAAGUAGCUAGGACUGAUGCCAUUGAUUCAUUGAUUCAUUGAUGUCAUUGACUCCUGCCCAGCACUGCCCAUUCAUUCAGGAUGUGCGUUUCAACACGACAUACAAUAAGUCAUCUGCUAAACAAAAGCAUCCCAGGCACAAGAAGCACAUGUGUGACUGACUGCCUUCUGAAAUACCGCCUGGCUGCAGCUGGCCAGGCCCCAACCACACCCAGAGGGCCAGGCCGGCGAGACUUAGGCCAGGCCGACAGAAGAGGCAGGCCUGGGAGUGAGGUGGGAGUCUCCCCCACUCCAGGCUCCGCUGGGAGCAGGAACAUUCGACUCCUGGCGAAACAGACAGGUAGGCUGGGCUUUCAGGUGAUGGAAGCAGACGAGGGGCCUCCAUUUCCCGAGACCCCAAAGCAUGACCAGGGGGUCAGAUACGGGAGGGAGGUGAAGGGGUCAGCCUACCCCUUCUCUCAGGAGAACAUGAGAAGGAGUCUCAGUCCGAGUCGGGACGUGGUCCUGGGAAUGGGCAUCGUGACCCCGGCAAGUCUUAGGAUGUUCACUGGGGCGCAGGCAUCGCCCUUUCGCUCUAAACGGGGAGAUCACGUGGGUCCCCAACCUCCUCAAACAGAUAAAGCCUAAAACAAAAAGGGCAGAAUUGGUGUUGUCUUUUAGUUCCUUCUUUACGGAGUGUUUUUUUCCCAUUAUGAUUUAUCACAGGUUAUUGAAUACGGUUCUCUGUGCUGUAUGGCAGGACUUUGCUGAUUAUCCAUCCUACAAAUAAUACCUGGCAUCUGCGAACCCCAAACUCCCACUCUGUCUCUCCCUCCACCCCCUUCUCCCUGAGAAAGCGCCAGGCUGUCCUCUCUGCGAGUCACUUUCUGUCUCACGGAUGAGUGCACUUGGGGCAUACUUUAGAGUCCACAUCAGACACAGCUCAGACGCCGGUAAGAGGCUGGGGAAGGCCAAGCUCUUCUGUCUGUUUGAUUCCAGCCUCCCCACCCCUAGGCCCCAGGUCCCCUGAGUCACCCACCGUUCCCCAGAGAGGUCAUGCCACUUCUCACCGCUGGGCAAGCACAGGGAAGUCCCUCUGUCUGGAAUGUUCUAGGCCUGUUGGCCGCCAAGAAAACAUUCUUGAAAACGAUGCCUGCUUGUUGGCGAAGCUCUUCCAGGCCCCACUUCACAAGCCGGUCGCAGCAACUCUGCUCCACCUCUGCGGCCAUGCUUACAUUAUACACGCCCUGGAAAUGACCAAGUUUGCCCUCCUAUGGGUGGAGGGCAGGGGACUCCGACCUCCAGGAUCUAAUGCCUGACGAUGUGAGGUGGAGCUGAUGCAGUAAUUACAGAAAUAAAGUG
This 2076-nucleotide long non-coding RNA is filed under the name Capra hircus (goat). Its description in RNAcentral is "lncRNA (ENSCHIG00000004974.1)". Lineage: Eukaryota; Metazoa; Chordata; Mammalia; Artiodactyla; Bovidae. The record is from RNAcentral.